Carya illinoinensis is the source of this 722-nucleotide long non-coding RNA. RefSeq lists it as uncharacterized. The record is from RefSeq and is a predicted model, not a curated record. NCBI's taxonomy places the organism in Eukaryota, Viridiplantae, Streptophyta, Magnoliopsida, Fagales, Juglandaceae. The transcript is spliced from 2 exons.
AGCAUACUAUUGAAUGUCCCCAACUACGUCAUCUUCCUUCCAUAUAAGCCUAUUCCCAACAAUUUUCUUUAAGUCUUCAUCUUCCUUUCACUUCAACCUUUCCCUAUGCCCUAACUUCAUAACAAAUUCUCCCUGUUAGAGAACCUUGCCCACAAGGUGUGGAUAAAGUUCUCUCAUUUUUUGCAAUAGCUCCGAGCUAUUGUCUUAUGCUUUCGCCCCUACCCAUUUAAUGAGUACCUUUGUUAUUGCCCUUUAGAAUUUAGGGUGAAUCCUCGAGGUAGAGGAAAGAUUGAGGCGGUAAGCUACCAGACCCACUCGUUGGACCACCCUAAAAGGUCCAUAAAAUCUAGGUAAGGGUUUGAGGUUAUGGUGGACAAUCACCGAUUUCUGAAGAUACGAUUGAAUGGGAGUGAGCAUGAUGAUGAGUACGAGCAGACAGGCCAAGAUUAGAUGGAGCAGUUGAUUAAAUUCUAGACUUCUUAAACUAAAUUACUUUUAUGAUAUAAAUUUUAUCCAGUUGUUUCAUUUAAUUUUAUUGGAAACAUGUUUCUAUUAAAUAAUUCUUUUAUGAAAUAAAUAUUUGUUUUAUUAAAAAUGAGAUCUAUCGCCGAGUCAUUUUUAUGAAAAUACGUGGCAUCUCCAGCAUAUGGGAACGGGGUGUUACACACACAGCAAAAGAGUUUAGAAAAACAAUAUUGAUUUUUUGAAGAACUAAUUUCAUA